AUGCAUGUCUAAGUACAGGCCGAUUUAACAAGGCGAAACCGCGAAUGGCUCAUUAAAUCAGUUGUGGUUUAUUGGAUCUUACUAACCUUACUUGGAUAACUGUGGUAAUUCUAGAGCUAAUACAUGCAACCAGGCUCCGACCGCAAGGGAGGAGCGCUUCUAUUAGAUCAAAACCAAUCGGACUUCGGUCUGUUCAUUUGUGAUGACUCUGAAUAGCUUUGUGCUGAGCGCACGGUCUCCGCACCGGCGCCGCAUCUUUCAAGUGUCUGCCUUAUCAGCUUUCGAUUGUAGGUUAUGCGCCUACAAUGGCUAUAACGGGUAACGGGGAAUCAGGGUUCGAUUCCGGAGAGGGAGCCUGAGAAACGGCUACCACA
RNAcentral lists this ribosomal RNA (374 nucleotides) under Mysidae sp. USNM IZ 1450113. RNAcentral's name for it is "SSU rRNA". It matches the Rfam family "Eukaryotic small subunit ribosomal RNA", at positions 51 to 414 of the family's 1831-position model. Lineage: Eukaryota; Metazoa; Arthropoda; Malacostraca; Mysida; Mysidae. The record is from RNAcentral.